This 432-nucleotide ribosomal RNA is filed under the name uncultured bacterium. RNAcentral describes it as "partial 16S ribosomal RNA". It matches the Rfam family "Bacterial small subunit ribosomal RNA", at positions 29 to 507 of the family's 1533-position model. The record is from RNAcentral.
ACGCACGCUGGCGGCAUGCCUCACACAUGCAAGUCGCACGCGACCUUCGGGUCUAGUGGCGCACGGGUGCGUCACGCGUGGGAACCUGCCCUUAGGUUCGGAAUAACUCCCCGAAAGGGGUGCUAAUACCGGAUAAUGUCUUCGGACCAAAGAUUUAUCGCCUUUGGAUGGGCCCGCGUUGGAUUAGCUAGUUGGUAGGGUAAAAGCCUACCAAGGCGACGAUCCAUAGCUGGUCUGAGAGGAUGAUCAGCCACACUGGGACUGAGACACGGCCCAGACUCCUACGGGAGGCAGCAGUGGGGAAUAUUGGACAAUGGGCGAAAGCCUGAUCCAGCAAUGCCGCGUGAGUGAUGAAGGCCUUAGGGUUGUAAAGCUCUUUUACCCGGGAUGAUAAUGACAGUACCGGGAGAAUAAGCUCCGGCUAACUCCGUG